Caenorhabditis brenneri is the source of this 47-nucleotide non-coding RNA. The record is from Rfam. NCBI's taxonomy places the organism in Eukaryota, Metazoa, Nematoda, Chromadorea, Rhabditida, Rhabditidae.
CCAACGGCUCUCUUGAGAGCCACAAACCUCUCUAUAAUCCUGAAUUU